AGAGCCAAACUGCAGAGAAGAAACAGGUGGAAUUUGUUGUUUUUCCUGCUUGGAUGAUUUUCCAAAGCUUCAGAUCAAACAUUGACCUUUCACCCAGGUGAACGACAGUGUAGUGAGAAAACUCUCUUCCCUGUUGGAAGGACAUAGGCGGUGGAAGCCUGUCCCUGGACGGCUGCUGAGCUGAGUGGUGACUAUGAGCAAUUGCCAUCUGACAGUUAUUCUGUGGCUUAAGGAAAAUGGCUGUGGUCACGCUCCGAUUCCUGCUGGACAGAAUAAUGCUGAGCACGCAGCCUGGGCCUGACUACGAACAGCUAAACCUGAACCCUGGCCGUGCUUCAGUCAAUAAAGAUGAAAAGGCUGACUCAGACUUAGGAACAGUCACAAAAGGGCUCCAUGCUGCAUCCGUAAAUCUAACCCGGAGUCUAAAAAUCCCAGCAGUACCUUCCGGUGGUGUAUCCAGAUGACAACAUAAGAAUAUCUUGUAUACGGAAACUGAAGAUCAAGAAAUUCUUUCAAUUUGGGGGCAAUUUCAUAAUCUAGAAUUGAAAAUAGAUAGUAUAAAACCAUUCUAGUUAUCUUCUAUCUCUUAGGAACAAAAGCUGUUCGUUGAUUUAGUAAACAUUUAUUGGCUUGUACCUGUGCCAAGAUAUCUUGACUCCAUAAAAGAUUUUCCUUCCCUUCCAACCUAAUGGUGUCUACACCCAAACUUUUAAAAAUUAACAACAGAGUGGAGGACAUUCUUAGCAAUGUGAUUUACUCUUUGGUCAUGAAAGGAGAAACCUUCUGAGGUCAGUCUCAUGACUGUGAUGGUAAGGUUUGUAUGUCCAAGAGACACCAUCCAAGCCCAGAUGACAGUGGCUGGCCUUUUGUUGUUGGCAGUAUAGUUAAAUGGGUUUAUUUGCCUAUAGAAAUAAAACAAAAGGCUAUUGUUCACAAAAGUUUGGAAAAAGUCUCUGACGGCCAGGAAAAUUGAGGAUUAGAGAGCAUUAAGUAUAACGUGUGUGUGUGUGUGUGUGUGUGUGUGUGUGUGUGUGUUUCCUGAAUGCAUCUAUAAACAGUAUCCCUGUCCCCCAUUGAACAAUUGAAAGUAUCUGAAGGUUUGCCACAGCUCAUGAGACAGCACUGUGGGCGUCUAGAGAGACAAGGCCAUUGAGAUGCUAGUGAACUUGGCUCAGUACCCAGGAAGCCCCUCCACACAUGGUGAUAGAGUCGGGAUGGGACUUGCUGCCUUCUAAGGGCACUGGGACGCUUGUUUGAUGCAGAGUCCUAUAUGCUUCGAGAAGGCAAAUGUUGAAUUUUCUAAAAAAGACAGUUAUCGCAACACAGAGUCAAGCAGGAAGCAGGUCUACCUUUCUAAUACACUUGGCAUCAUCAUCAUUUUUCUAGUUUCCUGGCACGGUGGUAGCUAGCUGACAUCUGAUUGAUUUAGACAACAGAAAUCUGUCUCCCAAUUCUGCAGGCUGGAAGUCCAAGCUCAAGGUAGGGGCAAGCCUGACUGUUCAUCGGCACCGUGGGUAAAUCUCCCUCCUGCAGCACUCUUAGCACUUGCCGGUUUCUUUGCAACUAGCAUUUGUGUUGCUUUUCCACCCCUAUGUCUGCCUCCAUCUGCAUAUGGUGGCUUCUCUCUGCGUGUACCUGCAUAAACGUUUCCCUUUCGUUAAGAGAUCAGCCAUGCUGGAGUAGAGCCCACUUUCAUGAUUCUAACAUGCUACUCUACGUCUGUAUAAACUCCAUUUUCAAGUAGUACCAUGCUAGGAGACAGAAAGGAUUAGAACUCCAAUGCAUCUUAUUUGCACAGAUAUAAUACAGCCUGUGUGGUGCCCUGGGCCAGAACUAUUUUAGAAGGGGAAUAAGUGGCCGGGAUAGAACCCAGGAUCCUGUGUGUGCUAGGCAAGCACUCUGCCAUGGAGAUACCUCCCAACAACUGUACUUUAUGGGUUUCUGAAGGUCCUUUAUUCCUUUUGAGCACCUAGAAAGGCAAUCGUUUUUUAGUAGAGUAUAAAUACACAUGAAUACUCAAUUUACUGAUGAGCUCUCAUUCAUGACUUUGUACAUGCCAGACCAGUACAAUACCAUGGAGUUUUAACCCCAACCAUAAUGGGAAAGAUUUAAAUAAACAAACUUCCAUUGUAAAAAUAGUAUGAAAAGCCAUUCAUGGCACUUUCCUCCACUACAAAAAAUUAAAAAUUCUCUGCAAACAUAUGGGAACAGGUGAGGUACAGGUAAGGUAAGCGUGUCUAGAAAAUCUGCAACUGUUGUGAAAUAGAAUAUUAGCAACUUAAUUUGUUCUUGGAGGGAAACUGAGUCGGACAUAAUGAUCCAUUUUCUUUCCUAAGUGGUUUCCCAGAAGCUUACAGACCCCCUUGGUGGUCGGUGAGAUGGUUAAACAAAAGAGCCCAAUGUGCUCACCCAAUCCUGCCACCCGAAAGUGACCAGCCAAUAUUACCUGUGACCUUUCCCAGGCGUGUGAGCAGAAAACCCUUCUUGAAAGAGGGAGCGAUAAAGAAAUCUGGACUUCGUUCUUUCAUGGGUUUGCUCUUAGGAAUGUUUAUUGGCGAGACACUAAGAAUAAACCCAGUUAUUGAAGAGGGAGCUGGGAAGUUGACAAGCAUGGCUAAACCCAGCAGAGAAAUUUGAUGAGGAAAUUAGAUGCUGUGAAGAUGGUGUGUAGUGAUUAGUCUUCUGAAAGCCAGGAUUAUUAUAUAAGUGGGUGGGGGGAAGGGCAGGUUAUUGGGACAGUUUGACUCCAUUUAUACAGGUGUGCUCCUUGCCAUCAGACCCGAAAUGCAGCGUGUGUGUUUUUACAUUUCCAGCAAACCUUUCUCCAGAGAUGGAUACAAAGAGAUGGAUCGCUGGAGCAGCGUCAUUUCCCCCUUGAGUCUUAGGUUGCAGCAACGGGAGUUAGGGAUAAGAAAAAUGCACAGUCUAAACGUGUCCCUGCAGUAGGAUCUUAAAACUAAAGUGAUGUAUUUACAAUGCUGUAUAUUCGCUAGUAUUUGAGUAAGGCUCGUUCUAUACGCAGUGAGAAUGUUAGCUGCUUCAAGCAAGGCACUAUAAUAAUCACAAAAUCCAAAGAAGAGAGAGGCCUAAGUACACAAAGGGACAUUUUAUCUAUUUUCUUGUUAAAAGUAAUGGUUAAAUCUUUAAAACCUGUGUCUCCUCCACCAACAAGAGUGACUUUUCCAAGGGUUGGGGAUUUAGCU
RNAcentral lists this small RNA (3203 nucleotides) under Rattus norvegicus (Norway rat). RNAcentral's name for it is "uncharacterized LOC108349443". Lineage: Eukaryota; Metazoa; Chordata; Mammalia; Rodentia; Muridae. The record is from RNAcentral.